Long non-coding RNA from Oreochromis aureus, 1518 nucleotides. The record is from Ensembl. Lineage: Eukaryota; Metazoa; Chordata; Actinopteri; Cichliformes; Cichlidae.
UAAAAAUGUAGACCUUCCAACAAAAUAGUGAAACUGUCGCAUUGUAAAUGCUGUUCAGGUAGUUUUCCUGCAAGCAGCUCCCCUGCUUUGAAGUACAGUCAGCUGCUCUGGUCUGAUGGUGUUCUCACAAGAUUGUCACGGUCCUGGGUCGGUUCGACCCAGCAUUUUGAGUUUCUUAUGUUUUGGUUUAUUUUUGCAUUAUGGAUUAGUUCUUAUUCUCGGGUGAUGCUGUUUUGAUUGUGAUUGUAUUCUGUUUCUUUAGCUAUCUGGUGAUGAUGAUGAUGAUGAUGAUUAUUUCUGGUUUAGGUUUCGUUAUCUUGCCCUCAUGUUUAGUUUAGGUUGCCUGUCUUCUCUGUCUGUCCAUGAUGUCUUUAUGCCUGCUUAUGAAUCUGUGUCUCUGUCUGUCGUGUGCUUCCUGUUUUAUUUUGUAGGUCUGUGUCCUAUGUCAGUGCGUUCAGCUUUGUGCUCUCCCUGUCUCGUCAGUGUAACCAGCGUCAGCCGUGUCUCCCAGCUGUUUCCUCUUCGUUCCGUUCACCUCUUGUAUUUAGUGUCUGUGGCUGUGUCCCAAUUCAGGGUCUGCACGCUUGAAGUACGCAUUUCAAGUACGAAUACGUCACCGCCACGCGACGACGGCUGUCCCAAUUCAAAGUGUACUUCAAAUGCAUACUCCAAAUGCGCCGUCGAUUUCCCCAAAUAUCAAGCGUGGUCCGAUGCACGCUUCGUGGUCUCAUAUAUCCCACAAUUCGUAGCGCGACGGUGGGUGUGGAUAAUUUUGCCGCAAAAUACGGCAGAAGGGAGCGGCCGAAGAGUGAACUGUCAGAACUUAUCACACAUUUGAUUUCCAUGUGUGACGACUGCAAGUGUCCAGAGUGAGGACAGACUGAGGGACCCACUGCUGCACAUCAUCUGUGAGGCUUUGCACCCCUGAUGAUCCACCAGGACAAACUCAGCAGUGUGUGAGGAAGAGGAGGAAGAGCCAGCAGCACCUGACAGAUGGAGAGAAUAGACAGACUGUUCCCUGUUUGUGAAGGACUGCUAGGAAAGUUUAACAUAACUAAUUGUCUGUCCUGAAUCAGUCUUAUUAGGUAAUGUUCAAAUAAUGUGAUCAUCCCAGUGUUUUCAGUGUGGGAGAAAGUACUCAGGGCCUUCAAGUUACACACUAUGAAAGGCAGCAACAAGUUUAAUAUUCAGAAACCAAAAGUAUGUAUCAGCAGCAGAAUGGAGCUAAAAAUAAAUGUUUGUUUCAGUUCUAUGAAGCUUUGAGUAUUUUGGAUCAGUAGUACUGCUGUGUUUGUUGCAUCAUAUUGCUGUAAUUGUUUAUAUGUUUUAUAUAUUCUGAGGUAAGUUGAUCUAUAGUGUUACAUCAUAUUCUAUAAGGAUGUUAUGUGUUUGUGUACUUUCUGCCCAGUUUGACCCAUUUAGCAGAAGUCAGCCUGUUUAAGGCUCUGAUAUCUAUUCUGUAUGACUUAAAGCAGUUAUGACAUGGUCUGAUUUUCUCACCCAAUAAAGGAAUAUUUC